Molecule: long non-coding RNA, 417 nt
Filed under: Bos taurus (domestic cattle)
Lineage: Eukaryota; Metazoa; Chordata; Mammalia; Artiodactyla; Bovidae
Description: long non-coding RNA NONBTAT016050
Source: RNAcentral
AUUUCUUAUAGCAAGGUUCUAAGAAGAGAGGGGAGGAAAGGCCUGUGAUGGGGAACAGUGUGUUUUAGGAUGACUUAUACUGAGCUCUACCUUUCCUCAUAAACUUGCUCCUCCUCCUGCAUUUUAUCAUGAUUAACACCACCACUCCCUUAAGGAACCAAGAUUAGAAUCAACUUUAUCAGUGUUGAAGUGACAGGGGCUUGUCCUGGCCAAGACCUUCCCAUUCUGCCUUUACAGCAUUUUUCAUUUUGAUUCCUCUUUUCAAUCUUGUGAUUACCACCCCAGUAGAAACCUGAUAUCAAGAACAAUGAUCUUGUCUCCAAUAUAUUGCUUUCAGAUUAAUCAAUAUUUGCUAAACAGUUUGGAGACAAUUAGUGUCCCAUGUCAUGUUAAUGCUUGUCCUGUGGGGGAAACAAG